Molecule: long non-coding RNA, 312 nt
Filed under: Manihot esculenta (cassava)
Lineage: Eukaryota; Viridiplantae; Streptophyta; Magnoliopsida; Malpighiales; Euphorbiaceae
Description: long non-coding RNA (MESC_LNC012082)
Source: RNAcentral
AGAGUAUAGCAGGCUUGCUAUGGGUUCUGGCGGCCUUAAGCCGACCUGAAUCCUAGCGCCGGUGACGGUCCAUUUUGGGGUCGUUACAGAUUGGUAUCAGAGCCCUAGGUUCACAUGAUCGGACCUAUAGAGACAGUGUUGGGCUCAGAUAGGUUAGACGUGGUCAAGCACAAUAGGAAAUCAUGUCCACGAGGAUAGGGUCUUGAGUCCUAUCUGCUAUGAUAUGCCAUGAGUAUUGUAUGUGUAUGAUAUGUGAUGUUUAUGUGCUAAGUGGUAUGUUAUAUGUUGUGUUUUCAGAAUAAAGAUGCGAGG